GGCGAGAUGGCCGAGCAGUCUGAGGCGCUAGAGUCAGGCUAAAUAUAGUCCGAAAGGGCGUGGGUUCGAAUCCCACUCUCGUCA
Molecule: transfer RNA, 84 nt
Organism: Moniliophthora roreri MCA 2997
Lineage: Eukaryota; Fungi; Basidiomycota; Agaricomycetes; Agaricales; Marasmiaceae
Rfam family: tRNA
About the family: Transfer RNA (tRNA) molecules are approximately 80 nucleotides in length. Their secondary structure includes four short double-helical elements and three loops (D, anti-codon, and T loops).
Source: Rfam